This 117-nucleotide small RNA is filed under the name Marmota monax (woodchuck). The record is from RNAcentral. Lineage: Eukaryota; Metazoa; Chordata; Mammalia; Rodentia; Sciuridae.
GCCAGGCAUAGUGGUGCACACUUGUAAUCCCAGCUACAUGGGAGGCUGAGGCAAGAGGAUUGUUUGAGCCCAGGAGUUUGAGGCCAGCCUAGACAACAAAGCAAGAUCCCAUCUCAC